UACGUAGGGUGCAAGCGUUGUCCGGAAUUAUUGGGCGUAAAGAGCUCGUAGGCGGUUUGUUGCGUCGGCUGUGAAAUCCCGAGGCUCAACCUCGGGUCUGCAGUCGAUACGAGCAAACUAGAGUGUUGCAGGGGAGACUGGAAUUCCUGGUGUAGCGGUGAAAUGCGCAGAUAUCAGGAGGGACACCGGUGGCGAAGGCGGGUCUCUGGGCAACAACUGACGCUGAGGAGCGAAAGCGUGGGGAGCGAACAGG
RNAcentral lists this ribosomal RNA (253 nucleotides) under uncultured bacterium. Its description in RNAcentral is "partial 16S ribosomal RNA". It matches the Rfam family "Bacterial small subunit ribosomal RNA", at positions 524 to 776 of the family's 1533-position model. The record is from RNAcentral.